This is a long non-coding RNA of Octopus sinensis (East Asian common octopus), 629 nucleotides long. RefSeq lists it as uncharacterized. The record is from RefSeq and is a predicted model, not a curated record. NCBI's taxonomy places the organism in Eukaryota, Metazoa, Mollusca, Cephalopoda, Octopoda, Octopodidae. The transcript has 3 exons.
UCACUGCCCUUCUGAUUAAAUCAUAACAAAAACGUCAAACAAAAAUAUCUUCUUCUCGCAUAAACAUGAAUGAACAUACUUUUCUCAUCACUCUCCACGUCUUAUGUUUUAUUACUUCCACUCCUUGCAAAGGAUUAAGCCGUACAACAUACAGCCUGUGUUAAAUGUGAAGCUGACACAUUCGUUGUUAUACACAUCACCUGGACAAUGGCAGCUUUCAACAAAGCUAUGAUAUUGUGACCAUGUCAGUUAGCCUACCGUUCAAGAAUUCUCCAAAUGUAGUCAACCAUGGGACUUAACCCUUUUCACAUUGUUUUGAAUUCAUCAGGCAUUAUCUCGUAGAUUCAAGAUUUUUGAUGUUGUGAUUGUUUAUUUUUAGAAUUACAUUGUGGGAUAGGUGAAAGAGGCUGGACCUGGUUGGUUUGAACAGAAAGUGAGUAGAAUAUUUUGGCAGGAUAUAACCAGUUUAAAUGCCAAAGUGUUAAAUCUGAUGAUUCUGGAAGCUACAAGUUUGGUUUUACAUGAUUGUAUAGAUUAUCUGACAUCCAUUUUAGAUAAGACUGUGUAACACAAUUUUUGUCCUCGGAAAGCAACUGUUAUUUCUUAUUUGCUUACCCCUAGAAAGUAUG